This 449-nucleotide ribosomal RNA is filed under the name uncultured bacterium. Its description in RNAcentral is "partial 16S ribosomal RNA". It matches the Rfam family "Bacterial small subunit ribosomal RNA", at positions 29 to 523 of the family's 1533-position model. The record is from RNAcentral.
AACGAACGCUGGCGGCAUGCCUAACACAUGCAAGUCGAACGAGAUCUUCGGGUCUAGUGGCGCACGGGUGCGUAACGCGUGGGAAUCUGCCCUUUGGUUCGGAAUAACAGUUGGAAACGACUGCUAAUACCGGAUGAUGACGAAAGUCCAAAGAUUUAUCGCCAGAGGAUGAGCCCGCGUAGGAUUAGCUAGUUGGUGUGGUAAGGGCGCACCAAGGCGACGAUCCUUAGCUGGUCUGAGAGGAUGAUCAGCCACACUGGGACUGAGACACGGCCCAGACUCCUACGGGAGGCAGCAGUGGGGAAUAUUGGACAAUGGGCGAAAGCCUGAUCCAGCAAUGCCGCGUGAGUGAUGAAGGCCUUAGGGUUGUAGAGCUCUUUUACCCCGGAUGAUAAUGACAGUACCGGGAGAAUAAGCUCCGGCUAACUCCGUGCCAGCCGCCGCGGUAA